UACGGGGGGGGCAAGCGUUGUUCGGAAUUACUGGGCGGAAAGGGCUCGUAGGUGGCCAACUAAGUCAGACGUGAAAUCCCUCGGCUUAACCGGGGAACUGCGUCUGAUACUGGACGGCUUGAGUUUGGGAGAGGGACGCGGAAUUCCAGGUGUAGCGGUGAAAUGCGUAGAUAUCUGGAGGAACACCGGUGGCGAAGGCGGCGUCCUGGACCAACACUGACACUGAGGAGCGAAAGCCAGGGGAGCAAACGGG
RNAcentral lists this ribosomal RNA (253 nucleotides) under uncultured bacterium. RNAcentral's name for it is "partial 16S ribosomal RNA". It matches the Rfam family "Bacterial small subunit ribosomal RNA", at positions 524 to 776 of the family's 1533-position model. The record is from RNAcentral.